This 301-nucleotide ribosomal RNA is filed under the name uncultured bacterium. RNAcentral describes it as "partial 16S ribosomal RNA". It matches the Rfam family "Bacterial small subunit ribosomal RNA", at positions 509 to 807 of the family's 1533-position model. The record is from RNAcentral.
CAGUAGCCGCGGUAAUACAGAGGGUGCGAGCGUUAAUCGGAUUUACUGGGCGUAAAGCGUGCGUAGGCGGCUAAUUGAGUCGGAUGUGAAAUCCCCGAGCUUAACUUGGGAAUUGCAUUCGAUACUGGUUAGCUAGAGUGUGGGAGAGGAUGGUAGAACUCCAGGUGUAGCGGUGAAAUGCGUAGAGAUCUGGAGGAAUACCGAUGGCGAAGGCAGCCAUCUGGCCUAACACUGACGCUGAGGUACGAAAGCAUGGGGAGCAAACAGGAUUAGAUACCCGAGUAGUCCCUGUCUCUUAUAC